RNAcentral lists this ribosomal RNA (197 nucleotides) under uncultured bacterium. RNAcentral describes it as "partial 16S ribosomal RNA". It matches the Rfam family "Bacterial small subunit ribosomal RNA", at positions 328 to 539 of the family's 1533-position model. The record is from RNAcentral.
ACGCUCGACACCUACGGGGGCAGCAGUGGGGAAUAUUGCACAAUGGGGGGAACCCUGAUGCAGCGACGCCGCGUGAGGGAAGAAGGUUUUCGGAUUGUAAACCUCUGUCUUUGGUGACGAUAAUGACGGUAGCCAAAGAGGAAGCUACGGCUAACUACGUGCCGGCAGCCGCGGUAAUCUGAGCGGGCUGGCAAGGC